GACGAACGCUGGCGGCGUGCUUAACACAUGCAAGUCGAACGCUGAAGCUCAGCUUUUGUUGGGUGGAUGAGUGGCGAACGGGUGAGUAACACGUGAGUAACCUGCCCCCUUCUUUGGGAUAACGCCCGGAAACGGGUGCUAAUACUGGAUAUUCACUGGUCUUCGCAUGGGGGUUGGUGGAAAGGGUUUUUCUGGUGGGGGAUGGGCUCGCGGCCUAUCAGCUUGUUGGUGGGGUGAUGGCCUACCAAGGCUUUGACGGGUAGCCGGCCUGAGAGGGUGACCGGUCACAUUGGGACGGAGAUACGGCCCAGACUCCUACGGGAGGCAGCAGUGGGGAAUAUUGCACAAUGGGCGCAAGCCUGAUGCAGCGACGCCGCGUGAGGGAUGGGGGCCUUCGGGUUGUGAACCUCUUUCGCUCAUGGUCAAGCCGCAACAAUGGUUGUGGUGAGGGUAGUGGGUAAAGAAGCGCCGGCUAACUACGUG
RNAcentral lists this ribosomal RNA (483 nucleotides) under uncultured bacterium. Its description in RNAcentral is "partial 16S ribosomal RNA". It matches the Rfam family "Bacterial small subunit ribosomal RNA", at positions 28 to 507 of the family's 1533-position model. The record is from RNAcentral.